ACAUAAACAUUUUGCUUUUUCAAUGGGUUUUCUCUCUCUCUCUCUCUCUCGAUCUCUCGAUCUCAGUUCCUCUCCUCUUCUACCGUCGUAAACCUGAAAAAAAUCAAGGUUCCAUCUUUUCUUCUUCUCUAGAUCGUGGAAUAAACCCUAAGAAAAAUUCUCCAUCUUUUACGAAGCGUGUCGACUCCACUUCUCACCUCGUUGGUUCACGUCUCGAGCCCAAGAGAAUCUCCAAUCGAAACCGAAUCUGACAUCGACUAAGCCAUCGAUUCCUCUGGCGCUGAUGAUGGCAAAAUUAGCAUUUCGGAUUUAACUAAGCCAUCCGAGCCUUCUCGUUUUCCACUUCUCAAUGGGACUACUGUAAUAUGGGACUCGAGGAAGCAGAAACCGACAAUUAACUUUACAGAGCUGAGAUGGAGGUGGUGGCAUCGGAGGAGGCUGUGCGAAAGAGUUGGGGUUAUUUUUUGUAUUUUUUUAGAUUUAGUAAACCAAAGUUGUAAACCAAAUCAGUUGUAAACCAAAAUUUUAAUAUUAACCGAAGUCAUUUGCAAACCAAUUUAA
This is a long non-coding RNA of Brassica oleracea var. oleracea, 561 nucleotides long. RefSeq lists it as uncharacterized. The record is from RefSeq and is a predicted model, not a curated record. NCBI's taxonomy places the organism in Eukaryota, Viridiplantae, Streptophyta, Magnoliopsida, Brassicales, Brassicaceae. The transcript has 4 exons.